This 253-nucleotide ribosomal RNA is filed under the name uncultured bacterium. RNAcentral's name for it is "partial 16S ribosomal RNA". It matches the Rfam family "Bacterial small subunit ribosomal RNA", at positions 524 to 776 of the family's 1533-position model. The record is from RNAcentral.
UACGUAGGGGGCAAGCGUUAUCCGGAUUUACUGGGUGUAAAGGGAGCGUAGACGGCGAUGCAAGCCAGAUGUGAAAGCCCGGGGCUCAACCCCGGGACUGCAUUUGGAACUGUAUAGCUAGAGUGUCGGAGAGGCAGGCGGAAUUCCUAGUGUAGCGGUGAAAUGCGUAGAUAUUAGGAGGAACACCAGUGGCGAAGGCGGCCUGCUGGACGAUGGCUGACGUUGAGGCUCGAAAGCGUGGGGAGCAAACAGG